Molecule: ribosomal RNA, 497 nt
Filed under: uncultured bacterium
Lineage: Bacteria
Description: partial 16S ribosomal RNA
Rfam family: Bacterial small subunit ribosomal RNA
Source: RNAcentral
GAUGAACGCUGGCGGCGUGCCUAAUACAUGCAAGUCGAGCGAACGGACGAGAAGCUUGCUUCUCUGAUGUUAGCGGCGGACGGGUGAGUAACACGUGGAUAACCUACCUAUAAGACUGGGAUAACUUCGGGAAACCGGAGCUAAUACCGGAUAAUAUUUUGAACCGCAUGGUUCAAAAGUGAAAAACGUCCUUGCUGUCCCUUUUAAAUGGUCCCGGGCUGCAUUAGCUAGUUGGUAAGGUAACGGCUUACCAAGGCAACGAUGCAUAGCCGACCUGAGAGGGUGAUCGGCCACACUGGAACUGAGACACGGUCCAGACUCCUACGGGAGGCAGCAGUAGGGAAUCUUCCGCAAUGGGCGAAAGCCUGACGGAGCAACGCCGCGUGAGUGAUGAAGGUCUUCGGAUCGUAAAACUCUGUUAUUAGGGAAGAACAUAUGUGUAAGUAACUGUGCACAUCUUGACGGUACCUAAUCAGAAAGCCACGGCUAACUACGUG